GACGAACGCUGGCGGCGUGCUUAACACAUGCAAGUCGAACGGAAAGGCCCUGCUUUUGUGGGGUGCUCGAGUGGCGAACGGGUGAGUAACACGUGAGUAACCUGCCCUUGACUUUGGGAUAACUUCAGGAAACUGGGGCUAAUACCGGAUAGGAGCUCCUGCGGCAUGGUGGGGGUUGGAAAGGUUCGGCGGUUGGGGAUGGACUCGCGGCUUAUCAGCUUGUUGGUGGGGUAGUGGCUUACCAAGGCUUUGACGGGUAGCCGGCCUGAGAGGGUGACCGGCCACAUUGGGCCUGAGAUACGGCCCAGACUCCUACGGGAGGCAGCAGUGGGGAAUAUUGCACAAUGGGCGGAAGCCUGAUGCAGCAACGCCGCGUGCGGGAUGACGGCCUUCGGGUUGUAAACCGCUUUCGCCUGUGACGAAGCGUGAGUGACGGUAAUGGGUAAAGAAGCACCGGCUAACUACGUG
RNAcentral lists this ribosomal RNA (468 nucleotides) under uncultured bacterium. RNAcentral describes it as "partial 16S ribosomal RNA". It matches the Rfam family "Bacterial small subunit ribosomal RNA", at positions 28 to 507 of the family's 1533-position model. The record is from RNAcentral.